GAUUUUUUAGUUUAACAAAAACAUUAAAUUGCAAGUUUAAAGAAACCACUCACGGUAAAAAUCU
RNAcentral lists this transfer RNA (64 nucleotides) under Columbicola macrourae. RNAcentral's name for it is "tRNA-Cys". The record is from RNAcentral. Lineage: Eukaryota; Metazoa; Arthropoda; Insecta; Psocodea; Philopteridae.